Molecule: ribosomal RNA, 775 nt
Filed under: Australolinyphia remota
Lineage: Eukaryota; Metazoa; Arthropoda; Arachnida; Araneae; Linyphiidae
Description: bacterial SSU rRNA
Rfam family: Eukaryotic small subunit ribosomal RNA
Source: RNAcentral
GAGGUGCGAAGGCGAUCAGAUACCGCCCUAGUUCUAACCAUAAACGAUGCCAGCCAGCGAUCCGGCUGCGUUCCUCAAAUGACGCGCCGGGCAGCUUCCGGGAAACCAAAGCUUUUGGGUUCCGGGGGAAGUAUGGUUGCAAAGCUCGAACUUAAAGGAAUUGACGGAAAAGCACUACAAGGGGUGGAUCCUGCGGCUCAAUUUGACUCAACACAGUGAAUCUCACCCGUUCCGUACACAGGAAGGAUUGACAGAUUAAGAGCUCUUUCUUGAUUCUGUGGGAGGUGGUGCAUGGCCAUUCCUAGUUGGUGGAGUGAUUUGUCUGCUUUAUUGCGUCAACGAACGAGAUUCUAACCUGCUAAAUAGGCGUUUCCGAUCCUUCGAGUCGGACGCUCUUCUUAGAGGGACAGGCGGCGUUCAGCCGCACGAGACAGAGCAAUAGUAGGUCUGUGAUGCCCUUUGAUGUACGGGGCCGCACGCGCGAUACAUUGAAGGAAUCAGCGUGUGCUUUCCCUGUCCGACAGGACUGGGUAACCCGUUGAACCUCCUUCGUGCUGGGGAUAGCGACUUGCAAUUAUUUCGCUUGAACGAGGAACCCCUAGUAAGCACGAGUCAUCAGCUCGUGUUGACUAUGUCCCUGCUCUUUGUGCACACCGCCCGUCGCUACUACCGAUUGAAUGGCUUAGUGAGGUCUUCGGACUGGCGCUCGGAUUGGCUCACUGGGUCGAGCCGACGUGCCGGAAAGAUGACCAAACUUGACCAUUUAGAGGAAGUA